CAAGUCGUCGAGCAGCGGCGCUCGUUCCGCCUGUCCGCUGGAGGCGCUCGAGUGCGAGAUGACGUCACACGCUCGAGAAACUGACCGCGCAGCGCAGAGCCAAGAUGGCGGCAGCAGACGGUUGAAACUUGAUGAAGGUAAUAGACGCAAAUUAUGUUUGAAUGAAUGAACUUACAUUUUAUCGCGGUUGUAUGGGUCUGUAAUGGUUUGUUUCUCAGUUGAGCGCGCUUCGGUUUAUCUGAAAUAUGCUGUGAAUCACUAGUAACGUUAUAAGUUUUGUCGGUUAGUGUGUUAGCAUAGAAGAUAACAACAACAACAACACAAACACGUUCAAACUCACUCAAAUACACACUGAAACACACGCGCACGUUCAUACAUAUUUAUAUACCCACUGAAAUUCACAGACACAUACAUGUAAAUACACAACGACACGCACCAAAACACAAUGUGUUGUAAAUACAAUUACAGUUGCAAGAAGUUUCUGAACCCUUCAAACAGCCCUGUCAGUCAUCACUCACUGUCCUCAAUGAAAGAGUGAAACGUGCAGUCGUUUGUGUUAUUAGUUUAGCCAAGAAGAUCUUAAAGGAAGAUCAGACCAUAGUUUGUGAGUAAUCAUUGCAGACAUCUAUACAUGUUCAAAGGGUUCACAAACUUAUGAAAAGUGAAAGUGAGGUGUUACAGGCAAACUUAUUCUUGCCUGUGUGUGUGUGUGUGUCUCUGUGUGUGUGUGUGUGUGUGUGUCUGUCUCUGUGUGUGUGUGUGUGUGUGUCUGUCUCUGUGUGUGUGUGUGUGUGUGUCUGUCUCUGUGUGUGUGUGUGUGUGUGUCUGUCUCUGUGUGUGUGUGUGUGUGUGUCUGUCUCUGUGUGUGUGUGUGUGUGUGUCUGUCUCUGUGUGUGUGUGUGUGUGUGUCUGUCUCUGUGUGUGUGUGUGUGUGUGUCUGUCUCUGUGUGUGUGUGUGUGUGUGUCUGUCUCUGUGUGUGUGUGUGUGUGUGUCUGUCUCUGUGUGUGUGUGUGUGUGUGUCUGUCUCUGUGUGUGUGUGUGUGUGUGUCUGUCUCUGUGUGUGUGUGUGUGUGUGUCUGUCUCUGUGUGUGUGUGUGUGUGUGUCUGUCUCUGUGUGUGUGUGUGUGUGUGUCUGUCUCUGUGUGUGUGUGUGUGUGUGUCUGUCUCUGUGUGUGUGUGUGUGUGUGUCUGUCUCUGUGUGUGUGUGUGUGUGUGUCUGUCUCUGUGUGUGUGUGUGUGUGUGUCUGUCUCUGUGUGUGUGUGUGUGUGUGUCUGUCUCUGUGUGUGUGUGUGUGUGUGUCUGUCUCUGUGUGUGUGUGUGUGUGUGUCUGUCUCUGUGUGUGUGUGUGUGUGUGUCUGUCUCUGUGUGUGUGUGUGUGUGUGUCUGUCUCUGUGUGUGUGUGUGUGUGUGUCUGUCUCUGUGUGUGUGUGUGUGUGUGUCUGUCUCUGUGUGUGUGUGUGUGUGUGUCUGUCUCUGUGUGUGUGUGUGUGUGUGUCUGUCUCUGUGUGUGUGUGUGUGUGUGUCUGUCUCUGUGUGUGUGUGUGUGUGUGUCUGUCUCUGUGUGUGUGUGUGUGUGUGUCUGUCUCUGUGUGUGUGUGUGUGUGUGUCUGUCUCUGUGUGUGUGUGUGUGUGUGUCUGUCUCUGUGUGUGUGUGUGUGUGUGUCUGUCUCUGUGUGUGUGUGUGUGUGUGUCUGUCUCUGUGUGUGUGUGUGUGUGUGUCUGUCUCUGUGUGUGUGUGUGUGUGUGUCUGUCUCUGUGUGUGUGUGUGUGUGUGUCUGUCUCUGUGUGUGUGUGUGUGUGUGUCUGUCUCUGUGUGUGUGUGUGUGUGUGUCUGUCUCUGUGUGUGUGUGUGUGUGUGUCUGUCUCUGUGUGUGUGUGUGUGUGUGUCUGUCUCUGUGUGUGUGUGUGUGUGUGUCUGUCUCUGUGUGUGUGUGUGUGUGUGUCUGUCUCUGUGUGUGUGUGUGUGUGUGUCUGUCUCUGUGUGUGUGUGUGUGUGUGUCUGUCUCUGUGUGUGUGUGUGUGUGUGUCUGUCUCUGUGUGUGUGUGUGUGUGUGUCUGUCUCUGUGUGUGUGUGUGUGUGUGUCUGUCUCUGUGUGUGUGUGUGUGUGUGUCUGUCUCUGUGUGUGUGUGUGUGUGUGUCUGUCUCUGUGUGUGUGUGUGUGUGUGUCUGUCUCUGUGUGUGUGUGUGUGUGUGUCUGUCUCUGUGUGUGUGUGUGUGUGUGUCUGUCUCUGUGUGUGUGUGUGUGUGUGUCUGUCUCUGUGUGUGUGUGUGUGUGUGUCUGUCUCUGUGUGUGUGUGUGUGUGUGUCUGUCUCUGUGUGUGUGUGUGUGUGUGUCUGUCUCUGUGUGUGUGUGUGUGUGUGUCUGUCUCUGUGUGUGUGUGUGUGUGUGUCUGUCUCUGUGUGUGUGUGUGUGUGUGUCUGUCUCUGUGUGUGUGUGUGUGUGUGUCUGUCUCUGUGUGUGUGUGUGUGUGUGUCUGUCUCUGUGUGUGUGUGUGUGUGUGUCUGUCUCUGUGUGUGUGUGUGUGUGUGUCUGUCUCUGUGUGUGUGUGUGUGUGUGUCUGUCUCUGUGUGUGUGUGUGUGUGUGUCUGUCUCUGUGUGUGUGUGUGUGUGUGUCUGUCUCUGUGUGUGUGUGUGUGUGUGUCUGUCUCUGUGUGUGUGUGUGUGUGUGUCUGUCUCUGUGUGUGUGUGUGUGUGUGUCUGUCUCUGUGUGUGUGUGUGUGUGUGUCUGUCUCUGUGUGUGUGUGUGUGUGUGUCUGUCUCUGUGUGUGUGUGUGUGUGUGUCUGUCUCUGUGUGUGUGUGUGUGUGUGUCUGUCUCUGUGUGUGUGUGUGUGUGUGUCUGUCUCUGUGUGUGUGUGUGUGUGUGUCUGUCUCUGUGUGUGUGUGUGUGUGUGUCUGUCUCUGUGUGUGUGUGUGUGUGUGUCUGUCUCUGUGUGUGUGUGUGUGUGUGUCUGUCUCUGUGUGUGUGUGUGUGUGUGUCUGUCUCUGUGUGUGUGUGUGUGUGUGUCUGUCUCUGUGUGUGUGUGUGUGUGUGUCUGUCUCUGUGUGUGUGUGUGUGUGUGUCUGUCUCUGUGUGUGUGUGUGUGUGUGUCUGUCUCUGUGUGUGUGUGUGUGUGUGUCUGUCUCUGUGUGUGUGUGUGUGUGUGUCUGUCUCUGUGUGUGUGUGUGUGUGUGUCUGUCUCUGUGUGUGUGUGUGUGUGUGUCUGUCUCUGUGUGUGUGUGUGUGUGUGUCUGUCUCUGUGUGUGUGUGUGUGUGUGUCUGUCUCUGUGUGUGUGUGUGUGUGUGUCUGUCUCUGUGUGUGUGUGUGUGUGUGUCUGUCUCUGUGUGUGUGUGUGUGUGUGUCUGUCUCUGUGUGUGUGUGUGUGUGUGUCUGUCUCUGUGUGUGUGUGUGUGUGUGUCUGUCUCUGUGUGUGUGUGUGUGUGUGUCUGUCUCUGUGUGUGUGUGUGUGUGUGUCUGUCUCUGUGUGUGUGUGUGUGUGUGUCUGUCUCUGUGUGUGUGUGUGUGUGUGUCUGUCUCUGUGUGUGUGUGUGUGUGUGUCUGUCUCUGUGUGUGUGUGUGUGUGUGUCUGUCUCUGUGUGUGUGUGUGUGUGUGUCUGUCUCUGUGUGUGUGUGUGUGUGUGUCUGUCUCUGUGUGUGUGUGUGUGUGUGUCUGUCUCUGUGUGUGUGUGUGUGUGUGUCUGUCUCUGUGUGUGUGUGUGUGUGUGUGUCUGUCUGUGUGUGUGUGUGUGUCUCUGUGUGUGUGUGUGUGUGUGUGUGUUUCAGGGGAUGGUGACGGUCUCCGGCUCUCUGUCGGUUCUGCUGGACUCGGUGUUGUGUGCUCUGGGUCCGCUGGCCUGUCUCAGAACUCAACGGCUGUCCACAUCAUGUGCUGUCAAACACUCUGGACAACAUCGCAUACGUGA
This 3906-nucleotide long non-coding RNA is filed under the name Sinocyclocheilus rhinocerous. Its description in RNAcentral is "lncRNA (ENSSRHG00000009030.1)". Lineage: Eukaryota; Metazoa; Chordata; Actinopteri; Cypriniformes; Cyprinidae. The record is from RNAcentral.